UGGGGAAUAUUGGACAAUGGGCGAAAGCCUGAUCCAGCCAUGCCGCGUGUGUGAAGAAGGCCUUAUGGUUGUAAAGCACUUUAAGCGAGGAGGAGGGUACUGGUAUUAAUACUACCAGCUACUGGACGUUACUCGCAGACUAAGCACCGGCUAACUCUGUGCCAGCAGCCGCGGUAAUACAGAGGGUGCGAGCGUUAAUCGGAUUUACUGGGCGUAAAGCGUGCGUAGGCGGCUAAUUGAGUCGGAUGUGAAAUCCCCGAGCUUAACUUGGGAAUUGCAUUCGAUACUGGUUAGCUAGAGUGUGGGAGAGGAUGGUAGAAUUCCAGGUGUAGCGGUGAAAUGCGUAGAGAUCUGGAGGAAUACCGAUGGCGAAGGCAGCCAUCUGGCCUAACACUGACGCUGAGGUACGAAAGCAUGGGGAGCAAACAGG
This 430-nucleotide ribosomal RNA is filed under the name Pseudomonadota bacterium. RNAcentral describes it as "Proteobacteria bacterium partial 16S ribosomal RNA". It matches the Rfam family "Bacterial small subunit ribosomal RNA", at positions 355 to 776 of the family's 1533-position model. The record is from RNAcentral. Lineage: Bacteria; Pseudomonadati; Pseudomonadota.